UACGUAGGUCCUGAGCGUUGUCCAGAUUUAUUGGGCGUAAAGCGAGCGCAGGUGGUUUAUUAAGUCUGGUGUAAAAGGCAGUGGCUCAACCAUUGUAUGCAUUGGAAACUGGUAGACUUGAGUGCAGGAGAGGAGAGUGGAAUUCCAUGUGUAGCGGUGAAAUGCGUAGAUAUAUGGAGGAACACCGGUGGCGAAAGCGGCUCUCUGGCCUGUAACUGACACUGAGGCUCGAAAGCGUGGGGAGCAAACAGG
RNAcentral lists this ribosomal RNA (252 nucleotides) under uncultured bacterium. Its description in RNAcentral is "partial 16S ribosomal RNA". It matches the Rfam family "Bacterial small subunit ribosomal RNA", at positions 524 to 776 of the family's 1533-position model. The record is from RNAcentral.